This 577-nucleotide ribosomal RNA is filed under the name fungal endophyte. RNAcentral describes it as "eukaryotic LSU rRNA". The stretch from base 180 to 333 matches the Rfam family "5.8S ribosomal RNA". Lineage: Eukaryota; Fungi. The record is from RNAcentral.
UUAAAGAGUUCUAUAACUCCCAAACCCAUGUGAACAUACCUAACGUUGCCUCGGCAGGUCGCACCUACCUUGUAGCACCCUACCCUGUAGGGCCUACCCGGGAGGUGCGGGUAAGCCUGCCGGCGGCCCACCAAACUCUGUUUGAUAUUGAAUUCUGAACCUAUAACUAAAUAAGUUAAAACUUUCAACAACGGAUCUCUUGGUUCUGGCAUCGAUGAAGAACGCAGCGAAAUGCGAUAAGUAAUGUGAAUUGCAGAAUUCAGUGAAUCAUCGAAUCUUUGAACGCAUAUUGCGCCCAUUAGUAUUCUAGUGGGCAGGACCGUUCGAGCGUCAUUUCAACCCUUAAGCCUUCGUUGCUUAGUGUUGGGAGCCUACGGCAACGUAGCUCCUCAAAGUUAGUGGCGGAGUUGGUUCACACUCUAGACGUAGUAAUUUUUUAUCUCGCCUAUUAGUUGGACUAAUCCCCUGCCGUAAAACCCCCAAUUUAUCAAGGUUGACCUCGAAUCGGUUCAGACAAACUCGCUAAAUUGAAGCAUCUUAGUCAGCGAAGGAAAAGAAACCAACAGGGAUUGCCCUA